GCCGGCCUGUCACGCCGGAGGUCGCGGGUUCGAGUCCCGUCCGCUCCGCCA
Molecule: transfer RNA, 51 nt
Filed under: Verrucomicrobiales bacterium
Lineage: Bacteria; Pseudomonadati; Verrucomicrobiota; Verrucomicrobiia; Verrucomicrobiales
Description: tRNA-Ser
Rfam family: tRNA
About the family: Transfer RNA (tRNA) molecules are approximately 80 nucleotides in length.
Source: RNAcentral